Molecule: ribosomal RNA, 600 nt
Filed under: uncultured bacterium
Lineage: Bacteria
Description: bacterial SSU rRNA
Rfam family: Bacterial small subunit ribosomal RNA
Source: RNAcentral
CCUACGGGAGGCAGCAGUGGGGAAUAUUGCACAAUGGGCGCAAGCCUGAUGCAGCGACGCCGCGUGAGGGAUGACGGCCUUCGGGUUGUAAACCUCUUUCAGUAGGGAAGAAGCGAAAGUGACGGUACUUGCAGAAGAAGCGCCGGCUAACUACGUGCCAGCAGCCGCGGUAAUACGUAGGGCGCAAGCGUUAUCCGGAAUUAUUGGGCGUAAAGAGCUCGUAGGCGGUUUGUCGCGUCUGCCGUGAAAGUCCGGGGCUCAACUCCGGAUCUGCGGUGGGUACGGGCAGACUAGAGUGAUGUAGGGGAGACUGGAAUUCCUGGUGUAGCGGUGAAAUGCGCAGAUAUCAGGAGGAACACCGAUGGCGAAGGCAGGUCUCUGGGCAUUAACUGACGCUGAGGAGCGAAAGCAUGGGGAGCGAACAGGAUUAGAUACCCUGGUAGUCCAUGCCGUAAACGUUGGGCACUAGGUGUGGGGGACAUUCCACGUUUUCCGCGCCGUAGCUAACGCAUUAAGUGCCCCGCCUGGGGAGUACGGCCGCAAGGCUAAAACUCAAAGAUAGUAGCGNGNGAGAGCGACGACGACGACGAGGAGGAGGAG